This 2001-nucleotide long non-coding RNA is filed under the name Lactuca sativa (garden lettuce). RNAcentral describes it as "long non-coding RNA (LSAT_LNC001712)". Lineage: Eukaryota; Viridiplantae; Streptophyta; Magnoliopsida; Asterales; Asteraceae. The record is from RNAcentral.
CUUCAUCUGCAUUCUUCUCUAGCAAGAACCCCCUCUCUAUUUUCUGGUUUUAUUUUUUCGAUUUCCGCUUCUAUAUAUUUUGGUGAUAUAUUUAUGUUGAUUAACAAAGGUAUAUUUUUCAUUUUGGUGAUGUUUUGAUUCAGCGUAUAGGUAUGAUUUUGAGAUAUGGAAGGUGGAUAUGGUGUAAAAAUGGCUUGAAUCAUUAGAUUUUAGAAGGUGGACUUUUGAGUAAAGGUUGGUGGAUAACUGCUUUGGCUUCCAUCACCAUUGUAUCUAACCAUCGCACAAGCACUACGACCACCGCCCAUAUCCCACCACUCAAUCUGUCUCUCUUGAUCUAUGAACCUUAGAUUAUUUGCCACUGAACAUUGUCUUCCUCCCAUGCUCUGACUUUGUGGUCUUUGUCUCUUCCUCUUUCUAUUUUUUUAUCACAGUUACAUAUGCAUUGUAUGCUUCAUAAUAGAUUUGGAUGUUCUAAUGGCUUGCUAAUCUUAUGUUUUUUGACAAUUUAUGUCAGUCUUGAACCCACUUCGACUGGUUUGAAAAAGAAGCCCAAUAAGGUAUUCUUAUAUUUAUGUAUAGCUUUGUUCAAGAACCUGAUAUUUAAGUAAAUGAUUUCUAUUUAUUGAAAUAUUUUUUGUUAGUUUAAUAUUGCAGAUCUAUCAGUAAAAGAUCUCUAUUGACACACAUCUAGAAGUGGGGGAUAAAGUUUCAGGCAUCUGAUAUUGCAAUAAAACAAGAAGGUUAGGUUUGUGAUAGGUAUAUGUUUUUAAAAUAUAUUUUAAAUACACCAUUGUGUCAACCUAAAACCUUUUCAAGAUAAUAUUGCUUUAAUCGAUUUCAGUUAUAAAAGAAGCACAUGUUGGCAAGGUCAAGUAAAUUGAUUUCAUUAUAUGGACCAUGGGGCUAAGCUACCUGUACACAUAAAAAAGUUCCAGUAAGCCUUUAUUUGUUUCAUUGUUGUUAUACGCGUGAUAUAGAUACCGUAGGGGGUGGGGGUCGAAGCUCAUAAGAAAAAAUAGAGAAUAUGAUCAUGUAAUAGAAAUGCAUGAAAGUAUGUGAUCAUUUUAAAAAUAUAUAACCUUUUGACUAGAUUUGAAUGUUAAUUAAAAGUUUAUAUAUUUUUUCGAUUGAUAUUUUGUUGUUGCUCACAUAAAAGAGAAAGUCUUCAUAUUUUUGGGUUAAUAAGUUACCCCAAAAUUCAUCGAUAGCGUCCUCGAACGGAAAAAUAAUUUGAUUCUAUUUUUCAUUUUUUGUUCAUUAUACAAUUUUAAAAAAUUUCGAUACUAUUUUUCUCUUUUCGUUCACAUUUCAUCAGAUCUGAAAAUUGCAGUAACAGGCUUGACAAGGUUUUUUUUUUUUUUUUUUUUUUUUUUUUUUUUUUUUUUUUUUACAAUGCAUAAGAUUUGUAAUCUUUCAAAGAAUGGUUUUUUUUUUCAUGUCUGUUUUCACAUGGCAAGGUUUGAUGCGAAAUGACUUCUAGGGUAUAUAUAUGAUCUACUAAAAAUUGUAUUAUACUUUCAGAUUGGGUAAACUUGAAACUUAUGGUAUUCUACUUUCGUGAAAUGGUUAAAAUAUGUUUUGGGAUGGACAUUUAUAAGUGUUUUACAAAUGGCAGUAUACUUGACAUAUUAUUCUAUUUUUAAAAGGGCUAGCAUAUCCAUGAUGUACUUGAAAUGGCAUUGUACUUUAAAGACUUUUUCAAAACCUUUUUGAAGUCUAUUAUUAGUAAUACCAGGUCUGAUGUAAGGCUCUUCAUAAAGAAUAUGUUUUUAUGAUAAACUUAUACAAGGUGUGGAAUGUUUUAGAAAUGACAUUCUACUUAUACAAGGUCUGUAUUCUUAGGUUUACCUACUCUGAUGCCAGGGGCGGAACACGAUCAAUAUAAAUAGGGGGGCCAAAACAUAGACAUAUCCGUAAUUUUUUUUCUGGAUGAAGUCAUACUCUAAUGAAUGUAAUUUCCUAUAUAAUUAAUAGUUCAUUAUAAAAAAAAAUAGUUGC